AGGACUUCUGGGAAAUUCUCCUGAGAAGCAGGAUCUUGAGGCUGGAGACACAGAAGGGAGUAAAAAGAGGUGCUGUUUCUAGGAGCCAUUCAUUACACCUGUGGAGAUUUCAUUCACACACAGAAAUCCCAAUAUUGAGGGUUCCUGUUUAAAGCAUUGCUGGUUUCUGUCAAGAAACCUAAUUUCUUUAAAGACUUUCAUUUCCAUGAACUAUUGAGAUACUGGACUCAAAUUGAGAGUAAUCCCAUUGGUAGACUCCAUCUUGUUGCCAGUUUUCAAGAAGACCAGAGAGGGAGGCUUAUGAGAGCCUCAAAGCAGCUCAUAUCUGGAUUGAGGUCCCACAUACUUCUCCUUAUAGAGAAGACUUCCUCGCCACCCUUGAGGGCCAGCAUGGCCAUCAAGGAGCAAGCCUUCACUGAGAAGAGGUCUGAAUCUCUUCAUUUUGGGAAGAACAGGGUCAAUGUUCAAUAGACUGAAGGAAAGAAUGUCUGUCAGGGACUGAAAAACAUGAGUAGAGACUAUCAACCUCAUUAAUAGAACCACAUCUCAGAACCUAAUGUGAGAGCAGCAAUGAAAUAAAAACAGACU
RNAcentral lists this long non-coding RNA (588 nucleotides) under Monodelphis domestica (gray short-tailed opossum). Its description in RNAcentral is "lncRNA (ENSMODG00000033815.2)". Lineage: Eukaryota; Metazoa; Chordata; Mammalia; Didelphimorphia; Didelphidae. The record is from RNAcentral.